CCGAUAGCGUAUAUUAAAGUUGUUGCAGUUAAAAAGCUCGUAGUUGAAUUUCGGGGUUAGUAGAUUGGUCGUGCCACUGGUAUGUACUGGUCUUACUGAUUCCUCCUUCCUGAUGAACCGUAAUGCCAUUAAUUUGGUGUUGCGGGGAGACUGGACUGUUACUUUGAAAAAAUUAGAGUGUUUAAAGCAGGCUAACGCUUGAAUACAUUAGCAUGGAAUAAUGAAAUAGGACGUUCGAUCCUAUUUUGUUGGUUUCUAGGAUUGACGUAAUGAUUAAUAGGGAUAGUUGGGGGCAUUAGUAUUCAAUUGUCAGAGGUGAAAUUCUUGGAUUUAUUGAAGACUAACUACUGCGAAAGCAUUUGCCAAGGAUGUUUUCAUUAAUCAAGAACGAAAGUUAGGGGAUCGAAGACGAUCAGAUACCGUCGUAGUCUUAACCAUAAACUAUGCCGACUAGGGAUCGGAUGAUGUUAAUUUUUUAAUGACUCAUUCGGCGCCUUACG
This 500-nucleotide ribosomal RNA is filed under the name uncultured Glomeromycotina. RNAcentral describes it as "partial small subunit ribosomal RNA". It matches the Rfam family "Eukaryotic small subunit ribosomal RNA", at positions 591 to 1092 of the family's 1831-position model. Lineage: Eukaryota; Fungi; Glomeromycota. The record is from RNAcentral.